Molecule: unclassified non-coding RNA, 345 nt
Filed under: soil metagenome
Description: partial contains 5.8S ribosomal RNA, internal transcribed spacer 2, and large subunit ribosomal RNA
Rfam family: 5.8S ribosomal RNA (bases 1-120)
Source: RNAcentral
GAUGAAGAACGUAGCGAAAUGCGAUACGUAAUGUGAAUUGCAGAAUUCAGUGAAUCAUCGAGUCUUUGAACGCACAUUGCGCCCCCUGGUAUUCCGGGGGGCAUGCCUGUCCGAGCGUCAUUGCUGCCCUCAAGCACGGCUUGUGUGUUGGGCCUCCGUCCUCCUCCCGGGGGACGGGCCCGAAAGGCAGCGGCGGCACCGCGUCCGGUCCUCGAGCGUAUGGGGCUUCGUCACCCGCUCUUGUAGGCCCGGUCGGCGCUUGCCGACACAUCAAUCUUUUUUCCAGGUUGACCUCGGAUCAGGUAGGGAUACCCGCUGAACUUAAGCAUAUCAAUAAGCGGAGGA